Tupaia belangeri chinensis (Chinese tree shrew) is the source of this 1990-nucleotide RNA transcript. It is a transcript of the gene named phosphoribosyl transferase domain containing 1, with no coding region annotated. The record is from RefSeq and is a predicted model, not a curated record. NCBI's taxonomy places the organism in Eukaryota, Metazoa, Chordata, Mammalia, Scandentia, Tupaiidae. The transcript has 10 exons.
CACCGCAGCCCUUCGCCUUCCCAGCGCCUUCCCGCGCCGGCCUUUCUUUCCCGCUUUCCCCGGGAGAAACAUGGCCGGGAGCAGCGAGGAGGCGCCAGACUACGGGCGAGGCGUCGUGAUUAUGGAUGAUUGGCCAGGAUAUGACUUGAACUUGUUCACGUACCCACAGCACUAUUAUGGAGAUUUGGAAUAUGUCCUCAUACCUCAUGGCAUCAUUGUGGACAGAAUCGAGCGGCUGGCUAAGGAUAUUAUGAAAGACAUAGGCUACUGUGACAUCAUGGUCCUGUGUGUGCUUAAAGGAGGUUACAAAUUCUGUGCGGAUCUUGUGGAACACCUGAAGAACAUCAGCCGGAAUUCAGAUCGAUUUGUCUCUAUGAAGGUCGAUUUCAUCAGACUGAAGAGUUACAGGAAUGACCAGUCCAUGGGCGAGAUGCAGAUAAUUGGGGGCGAUGAUCUUUCGACACUGGCUGGAAAGAAUGUUCUCAUCGUUGAGGAUGUCGUUGGAACUGGGAGGACCAUGAAAGCACUGCUCAGCAGCAUAGAGAAAUACAAGCCCAACAUGGUGAAAGUGGCCAGUUUGUUGGUGAAGAGAACACCUAGAAGUGAUGGCUUUAGACCUGACUGUUUUGCUUUCCAGCCCUUUAACCAGCCGAGGACAGGAGCACGAUGCUGGAUUUGAGAUUCCAAACUUAUUUGUGGUGGGCUAUGCCUUAGAUUACAAUGAAUACUUCAGAGAUCUGAAUCACAUUUGCGUGAUCAAUGAACAUGGUAAAGAAAAAUACCGAGUCUAAAGAAGUCAAUUCUUCCCAAGUUCCCAGCUAACAUCACACUUAAAGGCUACCCUCAGGAAGCCAGCCGUAAAGUUUGUCUCCUUGGGCAUCUUCACUCAGCAGGAUGUAGAAGGAAAAAAGUCUUAUUGAGAGCGCUUCCUUUUCUGAGGUUAUACUACAGAGUACCACAGGUUCUUAAGGAAAGGAAAGCAAACCUUCUAUUUGACUUAUUCCAAAGUAAACACUCCACCUCGUGACCCAGGAGUUCUACCCACCUUUGCACUCCUGAGCUGCACUUCCUUUGGUGUUGAUACAGUCGUGUUUGAUUACCAUUCCCAGGAAUACUCCCACCUAGUUACUCAAAUAUUUUCCACUUCAUUUUUUUUCCUGACUCUACUUUGGUAACUAUCUGACAACAUCAAGCACCUGGAAGCCUGUUUGCAUAAGCCCUGGGUCCACACACUGGGAAUAUGAACUAAGUUCCCAUACUAAAAGGAGGAGGGAAAGGACAUUUGAAUAUACAUUUCUGUUUGCAACCUUCUGACAGGCCAUCAUUAUCUGCUUUGACAAAGUCUUUCUGAAGCGUGCUGGAUAAUGGAUCUUAAUGAGGUUAUGAAAUGAGCCCUGCGUGGCGCUCUUGAUCUGAGCUUCUGGUAUGUGAGGAUGGUAUGUCACAUAUGCCUGGGUGUACUCAACUGUGCUGAAUACUCUGAAUUUUAAUUAGGAAGAGCACAAUGGCAGCAAGGCCCUGGUUUCUGAGCGGCAUCCUUUUAUUGAUGUGGGACACGAGCACAUGGCAGAAUGGAAGGGAGAGUGUUUUCUGGGCUCCAAACUAAACAAGUGUACGUUUUCCUCCUGAUUUGCAUCGGAGGACAAGAUAUCUUAGCUGUCCUGCACAGGAAUACAGAGGCUGCAUUACCGUUUUAAGUGUCCUUUAAAGACUUCAUCGCACAAUCAAGGCUCUGUAGGAAAUAAGCAUACUGAAGAAAGUUUUUCCUGAACAUUUUUCUUAUAUUUCCACCAUUGUAAGAGACAUUUUCAUUAAAAAUAAACUGGAGUGCCAGUAGAGCGUUUUUUUUCUCUCCUCACUUCCUAAAAGAAGCAAUUGCAAAACAAAUAACUAAGCAGCCUUUGUUUGGUUCCGAACAGCAUGUGGCGUAUUGUGAUUAAGGUCUGGCUUCCUCUAAACCAAUAAAGAAUAAGAAAACCUGUAUAUUUCA